CCUACGGGAGGCAGCAGUGGGGGAUAUUGCACAAUGGGGGGAACCCUGAUGCAGCGACGCCGCGUGGGUGAAGAAGCGCCUCGGCGCGUAAAGCCCUGUCAGCAGGGAAGAAAAUGACGGUACCUGAAGAAGAAGCCCUGGCCAAUUACGUGCCAGCAGCCGCGGGAAUACGGAGGGGGCAAGCGUUAUCCGGAUUUACUGGGUGUAAAGGGGGCGCAGACGGCGAUGCAAGCCAGGAGUGAAAGCCCGGGGCCCAACCCGGGGACUGCUCUUGGAACUGCGUGGCUGGAGUGCAGGAGGGGAAAGCGGAAUUCCUGGUGUAGCGGUGAAAUGCGUAGAUAUCAGGAGGAACACCGGUGGCGAAGGCGGCCUGCUGGCCUGCAACUGACGUUGAGGCGCGAAAGCGUGGGGAGCAAACAGGAUUAGAUACCCGAGUAGUC
Molecule: ribosomal RNA, 440 nt
Filed under: uncultured bacterium
Lineage: Bacteria
Description: partial 16S ribosomal RNA
Rfam family: Bacterial small subunit ribosomal RNA
Source: RNAcentral